Molecule: long non-coding RNA, 1458 nt
Filed under: Mytilus galloprovincialis (Mediterranean mussel)
Lineage: Eukaryota; Metazoa; Mollusca; Bivalvia; Mytilida; Mytilidae
Source: RNAcentral
AUUUUCAAUAAAAACAAACGAAAAUUAUCAACACUAUAUUACAUAUACAUAACUUGUUUUGUAUCUAAUUCUAAUGUUUCUCUAUGUUAUCAUGUUAUCAAAUUUUAAAUACUCCUGAAUAUAUUUUGAUACCAGCAAUGGGGUGCUUUACGAAGUUGAUUUGAACUCAUUGGAAAACAAAAUUUAUGAACCGCAUAAAAUAUUGUGAAUGGACACCUGUACGGACAACAAAAGAAUUAACAUGUAUAAAAGGUCAGAGUAGGUAAUAAAACAAUCAAAAUCAUGUUCUAAAGUGAGCAAACUGUAUCUGUCAAAUUUUGGUAUUCAUCAAUAACACAGAAUGCUGAUAGAUAAAUAAAUAAGGACACUAUGUGUGCAAUGAUUUUGUUAUUAAAUUGGCAAAAAAAAAUCCGGAUAUUUUCGAAGGUGGUGAUAAAUGAAUGGGACAAGUAAGUGCAGAACUUUUUGUUGCAUUGUCAAUAUGAUAUCGUUUAAAUUUCCCUUUGACAUGGCAAAUCACAUCAUAACAGAAAUUUGUGAUUGGAACAAUAUUUACAAACAGGAUUAGGAUCGUUUAAUUGUUAAAAAGAAAUAUUACGUUAAGUGAACUUUAAUACUGCAAAAAGAUAAUCUUCUUAAAUUUUAGUUGCAUCAGAGGACAUAGAAAUAAAAUAACAAUAGAACAAAACUAUUUUCUGACAUUUCAUUCAUUGGAAGUGACUGAGACGUUGUAAGUGCUAACCUUGGGGAUGAAUUAUGACAUUAUGUAAUUGUGAAUGAUAGCCUUAUAGUUACCAUGUAAUAUCGGGUUAAAUGUUUCAAUAAAUAAAUGCUCCAUAUCUGCUCGGUAUCAAUCAUAUUAUCUAUUACAUUGAAAUAGGCGUUAUUUUGACUUUUCUAAUUUACUUUUUUAAUAAUCUUUCCGUGGAAUUACUUGAUAUUUGUUUUAACUGUCUUUAGUGGAUACAAGCUCGUUCACAAACUGCGUUACCAGUUUAACAAAAAUCAUGUUUUGCAAGUGGUGCGAUAUUACAAAUUAAAUUUCUUUCAUUUUAUGCUUGCGUUAAUUUGGAAUAUUUUUUCACUAAGAAAAUGUUGAGUAUUUACCGGAUGCUAAUUAUCGAAGUGAAAACUAUGACAUAAAGUUCUUUAAGCCAGAUGAAAGUGCUAUAUGUCGAAUAAUUACGUAAUACGCACUUACUAUAGCUGUAUUAAUUAAGAAAUAAUUCAUGGAAGCCAUAGAUUUGUUUGAAAUUUACACAUGGGCUGGGCCGUGAUAUUCGAAUUUUAUCCUGAGCGUUAGCGAGGGAUAAAAUUCACGAAUAUCACAGCCCAGGCCAUGUGUAAAUUUACAACAAAUCUAUGGCUUCAAUGAAUUAUUUCGAUUCUAAUAGGACAAAUACGAUCAUUAAACAACUGAACCGAUGGUGGGUAUACCGUGUGUGUGGCUGUUCUAUU